This 253-nucleotide ribosomal RNA is filed under the name uncultured bacterium. RNAcentral's name for it is "partial 16S ribosomal RNA". It matches the Rfam family "Bacterial small subunit ribosomal RNA", at positions 524 to 776 of the family's 1533-position model. The record is from RNAcentral.
UACGGAGGGUGCAAGCGUUAGUCGGAAUUACUGGGCGUAAAGAGCGCGUAGGCGGGAAUGUAAGUCAAACGUGAAAUUUCGGAGCUCAACUCCGAAGCGGCAUUUGAAACUGCAUUUCUUGAGGAACGACGGAGAAAGUAGAAUUCCACGUGUAGCGGUGAAAUGCGUAGAUAUGUGGAAGAAUACCUGUGGCGAAAGCGACUUUCUAGUCUAAACCUGACGCUGAGGCGCGAAGGCCAGGGGAGCGAACGGG